Chinchilla lanigera (long-tailed chinchilla) is the source of this 1038-nucleotide long non-coding RNA. NCBI's taxonomy places the organism in Eukaryota, Metazoa, Chordata, Mammalia, Rodentia, Chinchillidae. The record is from Ensembl.
CUUUUAUUUUUUUUUAAAUAGUUCUGGGAAAAAAAAAUAAAUAGUUCUGGGAAGUUUGUUGCAAACUUCAAACCAUGUAGAAAUGUUUUAGGAAGUGCACUCUCCCCUUAUCCUCCAGGAUAUUUGGUAAAUAUCCUUCAAAGUAAAAAAAAAUUUUUUUAUUUUUUUUUACAAUUUUUUAAAACAAAACGAGACUGCUCAAAACUGAACUGCUUUGUAACUUACAUUUUAAAGUACUCUGCAAUGGAAGUUGUUCCAAGUUUGGUUCUUGUAAGCCACAGACUUUUCCAUUGCGUGAUUGUGACAUAAUGUUCUCAACUCACUCCUGGUGGAUACUGUUGCCAUGCUUUUUGUUGCCAUUAUAACAAUGUUUUACAAAACAACUUUGAAUGUUUAUCUCUCAGUAAUUGACAUCUGAACUCUUGACCAAAUGCCAUUUUCAAAACUGGAACACCACGGUUAAAAUUAGUAAUAAAGUCCGGUGACUGCGCGGCAGCCCGCGAGGGCAAAGCUCACACGCCGAGCCCGCACCCGGGGCCGCAGUGCACCUGCCCGUUCUGCUCGGAAGCGCCGGGGCGGCGUCGGGGCGGCUCCGGCUGCUCCGCCGGGCGCUGCGGAGAGUCGCCGCGGCCCGGUCCUCCUCGGGGCUGCAGCCGGAGAUCCCCGCGCCGAGCCCCGGGUCUGGGAGCGCAGCGGCGGGGCUCUUAGCGCUGCGGGGACGACGCGCUCUGCAGGCGGCGGGAGCAGACCCGAGACGGGGCGGCGCUCACGGUCCAAGCGCGGAACCUCACAGCUCCACGCUUGUGUUAUUGCUGUUCAUCAAAUCUUGCAUCCCGGUGGUUCUACAGGAAGUAUCAUCGAUGUCUGCUUUGCUUAAGUGAAAGAGUGAAAGAAGGGAAGAAGGAACAACUGACUGUGUUACCAAGUCUUGCUGUGGCUGAGACGCUCCCAUGGUGCUUUCCCAUUACGCAAUUAUGUGAUUGGAUUGAUGAAUUUCACAAGAAGUGAUCAAUCUCAAUGCUAUCCGCACCAGGUGAG